Molecule: long non-coding RNA, 5157 nt
Organism: Podarcis muralis (Common wall lizard)
Lineage: Eukaryota; Metazoa; Chordata; Lepidosauria; Squamata; Lacertidae
Source: RefSeq, a predicted model, not a curated record
UAAUUAAUGGCAACAACAAAGCUCUAGCAUAAGGCAAAGCUAACCUAUGCUGCAUCCAUACCCCAUCUUAAUCAGAAUUGCUUAAUCAGAAUUGUUUCAAUGGUGUAAGAUCAUCAUAGUGGAAUUACACAUGUUUAUGUGCUGGGGGUUUUUUUUGGUUUUUUAAAAAAGUAUCAGCGACCAUUUGAGUUGCCAUGCAAUGUGAUGAAAGUUGCGAUGUGAUAAAAGUGGCAAGAUGCAGUCACUUGACCCAUCUGGUGGCUCUGGAGGUGAAGAUCUGUGGGAUAAAAGGUGGGUUCAAAACCAGCUAAGUGUGCUAAUUCUGAUAAUAGCUUUGAAUGCGUCUGGUAGAAAAUGGAGAAGCUGGCAAGAAUUAUUUACAUGUAUGAAUUUUUGAUUUGACUGUAAAAGGGGUGUAACAAUUUCUGCAUUUAUGCGAGCAAGAACGCUAACACUAUCCCUUGGGCUUGUAAUAGGGAGGGGUGGUAGAGAGGAUAUAAGUAGAUAAAAGCCUGCAAUCAUAAAAGCCUGUAAAAGCCUAUUUUUAAAAGCCUGUAGCCAUGAGUCUUAUGAAAAAAUCAUGAGCAUUUGGACUUUCAUUCUUUAAAAUGUUCCUAGCCCUCAGGUUUGCACAGAUAAGUUCAAUGGUGUGACUGUACUGAGCUAAUAUGCAUAAUUUAUUCCCAUUUCAGAAUGCAUGUUUUCAAGGUAGGUGGGAAGGAGAGCCCAAGAAAUCCAAGGUCCACUGGUUAUAGAGGACCAAAUUUCUGCAGGGUUGUUUGGAGGAUAAAGGGCGGGAGCAGAAAGGGGAAAACACAGAGCACUGGGAGAAGGGGCAGGAUAAAAGUGUAAAUUAAUUCAGAGAGAAAGUGAUUUCUGAUAUGCUAGGAGAGCUUUUAAAAAAAUGAAGAAGGGAUGUAGCUCGGCGGUGGGGCAGCCGUUUUGGACGCAGAAGGUUCAGUUCCAGAAUUGCCAGGUAGGUCUGGAAGAGAUGUCUGCCUGGAGAUCUGCGGCCAGUCAGUGCAUGCAAUAUUGACCUUAGAAGGACCAGUGCUCUGAUUCAGUACAAGGCAGCUUCCUUCUUCCUAACUGGCCCACUUGUAGUCACUACAUGAAUUUAACUGAAACAGGCACUCUGGUCUUUAUACAUGCAUUGAGAAGGCUUUGAAACCCUGUUGGAUGCCCCAACCACUUAGCCACCGUAGGUCUGCAUAGCCAGCCACAGGCUUCGUUAUUUUUCAAAGUCUCUAAUUCUGGCUGGAGGCAUUUCUUGCAUUUUCUCCUUCUGCAGCAGCAGAUGGAAGCUUUGCGAAUGUGCUGAGGGUGGGCUCUUCUGUCUGUUGCUCACUCUGGUGGUGGGCUCAUGGGGUGCGGCAGCUAACUCACCGUCUAUCUGGCAAGCCCCCCUUUACAGUUUAUUAUUUUGAUUAUCUGAGUUGUAGGCAAUCCUAGACCCUGUGACAGAAGCUUUGUAGAUAGAGUCCAUGCUGUUUUAAGGUGCGUGUGCAUGUGUGUGGAGAUUGCUAAGUUUUGUCUUUUUGAAUUGCGAUCAGCUUUCAGGUAAGCAUCUUGUACGUUUUAUAUUUUAUUUCUUUGCAUGAAAACUACUGUGGGCCAGACUUAGGCAUGCAGGUAAAGUGCACCUGUGAAUGAAAAGCAGCUCAGGGGAAGCUACAGCAGACACAGGAUCAUAGCAAAGGGGAGUUUAACUCUUCCUCUACCUGUCAACAAGCAUCUCCACUCUGAUGCUGUUAUUUGCAUUUCAAGCGAUGUCCCCAUUCAUGGUUUAGAACAGGGAAGGAGAAUUGGUGGCCCUCUAGAUGUUAUUGGACCACAACUCCUAUCAUCCCUGAUCACUGGCCAUUCUGGCUGGGGCUGAUGGGAGACACUGAGGGGGGUUGUUUUUGUUUGUUACUGUGUUGUACAUUUUUGUGUUUUUAUAUUGUAAACUUUUUUGUGAUCCUCUGAUGAAUGCUGGUAUAGAAAUUGGGGGGGGGAGGGCCUCAAGCAAAAGAUUAAAAAUUAAAAUAGAAUCUAUCAAUAUCCAGAUGAUUACAAGUUCCCUCAUCCGUUGUUUAGCAGUUGCUCAAACUUCACCCUAGCUUCUAUUUACAUAAUAGGAAAAUGCACACUAACUGUGUCCAUUGAAUUAGCACCUAAUAUGGCUCAAACAAAUUUGGCCAAUUGUGCAAAGUAUAAAGAGCAAUAUUUUUUUAAGGGUAUGGCAGGCUGUUUCUUCAGGCUAGGGCUGCCAAGCUUAGCUCACAGAAUUUGCCUUCGUAACCAUUUUUAUAGCAAGUCAAGUUGCAGCAAGAAAAAUACCAAUUUUGAGCCUGGGAUCCUAUAGCUAAUCCCACUUGUUUUUCCUCAGUGGAAGCAACAUAUGUGCAGUAUACACAGGCGUCUCCGAUACCUGGAAGCCAUAGCCUCAAGAGCAAUAGUAAUCUAUACCAGUUGCUCAGAUAUUCUUCUGAAUGUCAUCCAGACUCACCUUCUGGAAGGAAAUUGAUCUGGAAAAACCUCACAAGAACUGUAGUCCUUCAUCAUGCCGCUUUAGUACAGAAAUGUGAUCUGUGGGGAGUCAUACACAACUUCCCUACUUUCUGUGUUUUCCAGCAUGGUUCAAAGUUUUGAUGGAUGUCCAUUUGAUGCAGUUUCAAUUAGGAGCUUCUGUGGAGAAAUGGAAAGCUGCUCAGAUUAAAAGCAGCUGUCUUAUGCUGAGUAAGACCACCGGUCCAUCUGGCUCAGUAUAGUCUAUGUCAGCCUCUUCCAACUUGGUGUCUUCCAAUAUAUUUUGGACUACAACUUCCAUCAGUCCUAUCCAGCUUUGCUAAUGGUCAGGGAAGAUGGCAGCUGUAGUCCCAGACAUCUGCAGGACACCAAAUUGGAGAAGGCUGGUCUGCAGUAGUGCUGUGCUGAAAGCUCAUCCAAUUUCUCAAAAGCUUUCUUUUCACGUGGAAGAAGACUUGUGUUUUUCUGCUUCAUUCUUAUGAAUGUCUCCUUAAUUUUGGUGAGUGUCAUCCAUUUGCAUUCAAGAUUUUCCCUGGGCUGCCUCUGCCUGAGACAUCUGUAAGAAGAAAUCCUCCUUCAGAACAAACUCUGUGCACAAGGACACCGAAUGCAAAUUUGGUCGCCGAAAGAUUUCUUCUAGCACUCAACUUUAAGACGUGGGCAUUUCUCAACAACAGGUGAAAUAUGACAUUCCAUAAACAAGCAUGCCCUUGCUGUGAAAGAAGUUUCAACAGAUAAUACGCCUUGAAAAAAGAUUUCAAAUGCUGCGUAGAAUUUAAUAUCGACAAAGCAACUACUUUAGUAAGGCAGCCCGUGUUCACAACUCAAUCAGGUUUCGCAGAGUUCAGAGGCAAGCUUCCCAGUGAUUUCUAUGGGAGCCAGGUCAGGCAUUUUCCUUGAAGGUCCAACUUUCUUAAGAAUUUGAGGGCACAGAGGGAUGUUAGCAGUAUAGGGCAAGUGGAGCUCUGCCCCACCAACUUCAAUCUGCUCUAAGCCUGUUCCCACCUGCCUGCCUUCUUGCAUACAUCCAGUCCAGAGGAUGACACCCCUUGGUAGCUUCCAUUUCCUCCAUCUCUGUGUUUCUCCUUUAAAAACCAGGAGGGAGCAAAAUUGGGGCAAAAUUAGAAUUAGCUGGUUCUGCAAUUGUUGACUCUGUCGCCACCUACUGUGGAACUCCCUGGCUUCCUCCCCCUCAGUUUGAAUGGGCACUAGUCACCACUGCAUGCUAGCAAUGAGGAACAGAAGUUGCAAGGAUUAUUCCUCUGCUCUUCCUCCUUAGUAGUAUUGCUAAAUUAUAAAGAGGUGCUGACAGACAGUACUGAACAAUAAUUAGACUGGUGUUUCAUUCUUCAGUCAUUGCAUUUAAAAACUUGGAAAUGUUUAUCCAAGGCACACAGAGGGCUAGUGGGAAAUAAGUUUCCUUAUUACUGCAGAAAACGGGGGGAGUAAUAAGAAACCACCCGCAGGAGGAAAAUUACUCCAUGUGUGAUUAGCUCAUAAAUAAUUAUGGAUUUGUUUUAUUCAUUACUAAUCUUUCAUUUAGUUUAUGAAAUUUAUUUAUCACUUUGCGCAACUGAAAUGAGUCCCAAAGGAGGUUUAGGUUAUAUCCACACCAUAUGUCUAAAGCACUCUUAUAGCACUUUAACAGACAUGGGUUGUCCCAAAAGAUUCAUGGGAACUGUAGUUUGUUAAGGGUGCUGGGAAUUAUAGUUCUGUGGGAGAUCUCAUGACAAGUCUCAGCACACUUAAAAAACUGUUUGAAGUGGAGACUGUGGAAUGCACAAAAAAUGUAUACGUUUCCUACAAAAGUACGAUGUGGCUGUAGCUUUUCAAGAAAAGUAAAAUAACAAAUUAAUAAGAUCCCCAGAAAAGCAAUACAAACACAGUAAAAAAAUAAAUCUGCACACAAAGUAAUAAAAAAACAAGACUAUCCACCCCACCUAACACAGGAAUGAUGACUAGAAACAGCUGCUAUAAUUUGGACCAUUAAUACAGUUCAAACGCCAGAGAAAAUAAAAAUGUUUUUGCCUGGCGCCAGAAAGAUAACAGAGUCAACGCCAGGUGAACUUCCCAGGGGACAGCAUUCCAUAAUGGGCGACUGCGUUGCCACAGAGAGGGCCCUUUCCCUCACUGCCACCCUCAAAACAUCUCUUGGAGGCGACACAAGAGAGAAGAGCCUCAAGGAAGGGCUUUGUUUUUGUUGCUUAUAACAACAAAAUUCUCUGUAUUUUGUUGCUUUGUUUUGCUUUGUUUUGCUUUAAAGAAAAGAGCAAAUAGGAGCAGAUCUAAAACCAGGCCACUAUUUCAGGCCAUCGGCUCGUUGUCUGAUCUUAUGGCAAGACUUCAGGAAAGGACCAACUCGAGGAGUUUGUCAAAAAGCCAGAUGUUACAUCUGGGAAGAGUUUGCUUACACCUUGCCAUCUGGAACUUUUUAGUGCUCUUGAUUGUUUGUUAGUUUGGGGCUUAAAAGGGGGGGGGAGCUCGCUCUAGUAAUGAUGUUUCACCAAUCAUGAUUAUGUACUCUGAAUUGCACAAGGGCAGUUGUUGUAAGUACAAGAGUAAAAUACAAAACAAAAACAUGGAUGUUGCCAAUGUUGUUCCGGCUCACGUGUGGUAAUCAGUGAAUGAACAAAUUGUUUCCAUCUA